CGAACGGGUGAGUAACGCGUAGGUAACCUGCCUGGUAGCGGGGGAUAACUAUUGGAAACGAUAGCUAAUACCGCAUAAGAGUAGGUGUUGCAUGACAUUUGCUUAAAAGGUGCAAUUGCAUCACUACCAGAUGGACCUGCGUUGUAUUAGCUAGUUGGUGGGGUAACGGCUCACCAAGGCGACGAUACAUAGCCGACCUGAGAGGGUGAUCGGCCACACUGGGACUGAGACACGGCCCAGACUCCUACGGGAGGCAGCAGUAGGGAAUCUUCGGCAAUGGACGGAAGUCUGACCGAGCAACGCCGCGUGAGUGAAGAAGGUUUUCGGAUCGUAAAGCUCUGUUGUAAGAGAAGAACGAGUGUGAGAGUGGAAAGUUCACACUGUGACGGUAUCUUACCAGAAAGGGACGGCUAACUACGUGCCAGCAGCCGCGGUAAUACGUAGGUCCCGAGCGUUGUCCGGAUUUAUUGGGCGUAAAGCGAGCGCAGGCGGUUAGAUAAGUCUGAAGUUAAAGGCUGUGGCUUAACCAUAGUACGCUUUGGAAACUGUUUAACUUGAGUGCAAGAGGGGAGAGUGGAAUUCCAUGUGUAGCGGUGAAAUGCGUAGAUAUAUGGAGGAACACCGGUGGCG
RNAcentral lists this ribosomal RNA (630 nucleotides) under uncultured Bacilli bacterium. Its description in RNAcentral is "bacterial SSU rRNA". It matches the Rfam family "Bacterial small subunit ribosomal RNA", at positions 99 to 717 of the family's 1533-position model. The record is from RNAcentral. Lineage: Bacteria; Bacillati; Bacillota; Bacilli.